AACAUUCAUUCAAGCCUUUAGUUCACCCAUUUAGCUCCAAAUCAAGGUGCAAUUGAAGGAAUUUACACUUGGAUUCCAUUGUUGAUUGGAGUUGCAAGCUUGGUUAGGUGAGGUUCAAGAACUUGGAAAGUCUUGGGUUAAGAAAAGGUUAAU
Tripterygium wilfordii is the source of this 153-nucleotide long non-coding RNA. RefSeq lists it as uncharacterized. The record is from RefSeq and is a predicted model, not a curated record. The transcript has 3 exons. NCBI's taxonomy places the organism in Eukaryota, Viridiplantae, Streptophyta, Magnoliopsida, Celastrales, Celastraceae.